CCAGACAUUGGACUACCAUAAGG
Molecule: non-coding RNA, 23 nt
Filed under: Arabidopsis thaliana (thale cress)
Lineage: Eukaryota; Viridiplantae; Streptophyta; Magnoliopsida; Brassicales; Brassicaceae
Source: RNAcentral